Molecule: ribosomal RNA, 253 nt
Filed under: uncultured bacterium
Lineage: Bacteria
Description: partial 16S ribosomal RNA
Rfam family: Bacterial small subunit ribosomal RNA
Source: RNAcentral
UACGUAGGUGGCAAGCGUUGUCCGGAUUUACUGGGCGUAAAGAGCGCGCAGGCGGUCGUUCAAGUCGCGUGUGAAAGCCCCCGGCUCAACUGGGGAGGGUCACGCGAUACUGAUCGACUCGAAGGCAGGAGAGGGUAGUGGAAUUCCCGGUGUAGUGGUGAAAUGCGCAGAUAUCAGGAGGAACACCGAUGGCGAAGGCAGGUCUCUGGGCAACAACUGACGCUGAGGAGCGAAAGCGUGGGGAGCGAACAGG